UACGUAGGGGGCGAGCGUUACCCGGAAUCACUGGGCGUAAAGGACGCGUAGGCUGUUUAGCAAGUCAGGUGUGAAAUCCUAUGGCUCAACCAUAGAACUGCACUUGAAACUGCUAGACUAGAGUAUGGGAGGGGGAGAUGGAAUUAGUGGUGUAGGGGUAAAAUCCGUAGAUAUCACUAGGAAUAUCUAAAGCGAAGGCGAUCUCCUGGAACAUUACUGACGCUAAGGCGUGAAAGCGUGGGGAGCAAACAGG
This 253-nucleotide ribosomal RNA is filed under the name uncultured prokaryote. RNAcentral describes it as "partial 16S ribosomal RNA". It matches the Rfam family "Bacterial small subunit ribosomal RNA", at positions 524 to 776 of the family's 1533-position model. The record is from RNAcentral.